This 923-nucleotide ribosomal RNA is filed under the name uncultured bacterium. RNAcentral's name for it is "bacterial SSU rRNA". It matches the Rfam family "Bacterial small subunit ribosomal RNA", at positions 9 to 924 of the family's 1533-position model. The record is from RNAcentral.
GAGUUUGAUCCUGGCUCAGAUUGAACGCUGGCGGCAGGCCUAACACAUGCAAGUCGAGCGGUAGAGAGAAGCUUGCUUCUCUUGAGAGCGGCGGACGGGUGAGUAAUGCCUAGGAAUCUGCCUGGUAGUGUGGGGGAUAACGUUCGGAAACGGACGCUAAUACCGCAUACGUCCUACGGGAGAAAGCAGGGGACCUUCGGGCCUUGCGCUAUCAGAUGAGCCUAGGUCGGAUUAGCUAGUUGGUGAGGUAAUGGCUCACCAAGGCGACGAUCCGUAACUGGUCUGAGAGGAUGAUCAGUCACACUGGAACUGAGACUCGGUCCAGACUCCUACGGGAGGCAGCAGUGGGGAAUAUUGGACAAUGGGCGAAAGCCUGAUCCAGCCAUGCCGCGUGUGUGAAGAAGGUCUUCGGAUUGUAAAGCACUUUAAGUUGGGAGGAAGGGCAGUUACCUAAUACGUGAUUGUUUUGACGUUACCGACAGAAUAAGCACCGGCUAACUCUGUGCCAGCAGCCGCGGUAAUACAGAGGGUGCAAGCGUUAAUCGGAAUUACUGGGCGUAAAGCGCGCGUAGGUGGUUUGUUAAGUUGGAUGUGAAAUCCCCGGGCUCAACCUGGGAACUGCAUUCAAAACUGACUGACUAGAGUAUGGGUAGAGGGUGGUGGAAUUUCCUGUGUAGCGGUGAAAUGCGUAGAUAUAGGAAGGAACACCAGUGGCGAAGGCGACCACCUGGACUGAUACUGACACUGAGGUGCGAAAGCGUGGGGAGCAAACAGGAUUAGAUACCCUGGUAGUCCACGCCGUAAACGAUGUCAACUAGCCGUUGGGAGCCUUGAGCUCUUAGUGGCGCAGCUAACGCAUUAAGUUGACCGCCUGGGGAGUACCGCCGCAAGGUUAAAACUCAAAUGAAUUGACGGGGGCCCCG